AGCAGUACAUGUACCAUGUUAAAUUAGCUUCGUUGAUGUAAUUUCACAUAAAGAUUGGUUUUAACCCAUCAUUUAUUUUUUCAGGAGAAACUGGAAGAUUGGUUGCGCAAAGGAAAAAAGCUUGUUGAAGAUAAGAUUAAUAACAACAGCUGUAUGUUAUGCCUUGCCCAUUCUAUAUUUUCUGUAACCUGCUUUCUCUUUCUGCACCAUCAUGUUCUGUUUUAUAGCAUUUCUAAUAUUUUGCAUCUUCUGCUUCCUGUUGGUGGCUGAAAGCUUUACCAUUACUAGUUUCAUUCAUUUCUUUUGAACCACCGUAUACUUUAAUUCUACUGUAGUUAAUUGUUUUAUGAUCAAUACUAUUGUUUCCAUUGAAUGUUCAAUUUGGAAGAAGUUGGAUAAACCUGAUUUAAGCUAAACUGGAAUCGACUCUUUUUUCUUAAGAAAUGUGGGAAUGUUUGUUGUGUACCCUGAUAAGAGAAAAAGCUUGUGUUUUGCGGUUAGCAUAAAGGGUCUGCUGCUGUUGCUAUUUUGUUUCUUUCUUUCAUGUUAUUUGUUGAAAAUGGUCUGCUGCUGUUGUUGUUUUAGUAACAGAGUAAAAUGUUGAAAAUGGUGCAGAAGUAAGGGGAUAUUAUUUGUUGCAAUUGAUCAAAAUAGAACUCUUUCAGACCAGGGUCCUUUUGAUAUUGUAUUGCACAAGGUUAGUAGAUAUUUCUCUGUAUAUGUUUAACAUGUCCUUGGAAUCUAUUGCUAGAAUAUACGUUCAUUACUCAUGGGAUACCAAGUUCUAAUUUGUUUUCCUCCUAAUCUGUUUUAAUCCAGUUUUUUAGCAAUGUUGGCGUACGUACUAGUAAAAGUUCUAGCGCUUGGCUAACUUAUUCAUGUUAAAUAAGUUCUAUGAUGCAAUAUAUUUUAAUUGGCAUAUAAGUUAUUCAUGUUAAACAAUUUCAUUACACUGCCGAAUGAAAAAAAAUUAGAAAUAUGCCGAAUGGUUCAGUUUAAGCUUGUCUAUGAAUUUUUAUGCUCUAUGAGUUACAAAUCCACUGCCGUCCUAAACAAGUAUGACUGCAUGAUGACAAAUAUGGUAGCAUGAUGACUGCAUGCUUUAAGUUUGUUUAUUUAUCUUCUCUUUUUCACAGUAAAUUAUUGUAGCAUGAAAAGCUUCAUUAUUUGGCAUUGUUGUUUGCAGUCGGGUCCAUUUUUUGGUAAAAUUAAUAUUAGAAUAUAUAUUUUCAUACACAUGUAAACAAAUAUACUUAUGUGACAUUUGAUUUUCUUGAUUGCUUUACUGGCUUCAACGAAUAUGUUCGUAUACACAAUAGAUGAGUACUUCGGCGGUUGAAGUUAGUGGUGAAAAGGUGAAAGCAAUGUGGGAUAAGAGAUUGAUAGAAAUAUUUUUUGAUAUUUGUAUUAAAGAGAUAUUGAAAGGCAAUAGGCUUGGUACUCAUUUUACAAAAGAUGGAUGGUUGAAAAUAAUGACCAGCUUUGAGAAAGAAACGAGAAAGGGUUUUUCACAAAGACAACUUAAAAAUAGGUGGGAUGCCCUAAAAAAGAAUGGAAAGCUUGGAAGAAACUUAAAGGCGAAGAUACUGGUCUAGGGUGGGAUCCUAUAAAAAGAAUUGUUGAUGCAUCGGAUGAUGAGUGGGAGAGUAGGCUACAGGUACAUUAAUAAUUCUGAAUAUUUUUAUUUUUUCUUAUUUAUGAGGUUAUUGAUAAUUACUGUUAUUAAACUAUCAUUUUAUAUGUAGGUUGUGCCUGAAGCUCAAAAAUUUCGAACUUCGGGCAUUGAUCCCGAAUUUGAAGGGAAGUUAGAUCAAAUGUUCAUGGGGAUAGUUGCAACAAGAGAUAAAGCAUGGGCACCUUCUUCUGGUACACUCCGGAGUGAUUUUUUUGAGGAUGUUACCGACUAAAUACCUGAAGAGAAUGAAGAAGAGAAUAUGAGAAAUGAUGUUCACAUUUUAAAUGAUGUUCACAUUUCAAAUGAUGUUCACAUUUCUAAUGAUGUUCAAAUUGAUGGGAACGGUCAAAAAAGAAAAAACCCUGAGAUAUCAAGUUCACAUUUGAAAACUGGAAGAAAGAAAUCCUCAAAGCAAAUUGGAGGGGCUGCAAGAUUGUCUAGUCAAAUAGAAAAAUUAUGCAAUGCAGCUGACGAUAUGAGUCAAGCCACAUCUAGUUUGACUCCUGUUAUGGAUCCAUAUGGUAUUCCGCAAGCAAUCAAAGUGCUUGACAGCAUGUCGGAAGAAGUUCCAGAAGCUAGUCCGCUAUACUUUUUCGCACUUAAAUUAUUGCUUAAUAAGGACAAGCGAAUUAUGUUUUUAUCAAUUAAUCCCAAGAUUAGAGCUUUGUGGCUUAAGUCGGAAAUGGAGGAUAGUUGAACAUGUGCUUCUCUCUAGGGUUCAGAUAUAUCUAUUAUGUGACUAAACAACAAUGCUAAACUAGUUUUAUCAAUAGUUAUUUAUGUUUGGUUUUUGGAUAUUGAAUUUAUGUUCUAUUUAUUUAUGUGUAAUCUAGUUUUAUUAAUAGUUGUUUAUGUUUGGUCUUUGGAUAUUGAAUUUAUGUUCUACUUAUUUAUACUAAAUUAGUUUUAUCAAUAGUUGUUAAUAUGAUUUUGGGUAUAAAAUUUAUUCACAGGUGAUGAGUAUAGUUGAGAAUUACAGCGGUGAUGAAAAUGAUGAUGAAAGGGAAAAGAAAGAGAUUUUACAACGCAUGGAAUGUUUUAAUCGAUUAUUUGUUGCUGCAUCUUCUUCCAUGCAAUUAUAUUACGAGAAGUAUAUAUCCAGGCAACCAUGCAUGGAUUCAAAACAGUCAGGUGAGACAUGGAUCCGAGAGAUCCUCGACGGUCAUGAAUCACGUUGUAUGAUUAAUUUUAGGAUGUCUAAAAUGGUAUUCACAAGUUUGUUGAGAGUUUUGGAGACAAGAUACAACUUGCAAACUUCAAGAAACAUAUCUUCUAGUGAAAUGCUGGGAAUUUUUUUAUACAUCUUGGGCACCGGCGCAAAAGUUUUCCAAUGUCGAGAAAGAUUUCAGAGGUCUGGAUCAACAAUAAGUCGACACUUUGCAACUGUACUUGAGAAAGUUUCAAGGAUGUCCACUGAUCUAAUUGCACCCGAAGAUCUUUUUUUUAGCUCAAUACCCGAACAAAUACGUAAUGAUUCUAGAUAUAUGCCGCAUUUUAAGGUUAAAAUUUAAUUUUAUAUUAUUAUAUUUUAAUAUUUUUGGUUGAUUAAAAAUAUGCACGAGGGUAAUAUGAUUAUUUGUUCAGGAUUGCAUUGGUGCAAUUGAUGGUACUCACAUUGCCGCUAUUCUUCCACCAAAUGAACAAAUUCCCUAUAUUGGAAGAAAAUGUAUCCCGACUCAAAAUGUUAUGGCAGUAUGUGAUUUUAAUAUGUGUUUCACCUUUGUCAUGGCUGGAUGGGAAGGAUCGGCACAUGACACUAGAAUAUUUCUUGAUGCAAUUCGAGAUCCGAAAUACAAAUUUCCGCACCCACCAAAUGGUUAGAUUUUUUUUAUAUGUGAUUUUUUAAAUAACAAAGUAUAAGUUCUUUAAUUCAUAAAUUUAAUAAAGUAAUAUGAUUAAUUGUUUGUUAUAUUAUGACUUGUAGGAAAAUAUUAUCUUGUUGAUUCUGGAUAUCCUCAAAUGAAAGGUUAUCUUGGACCAUAUAGAGGUCAGCGAUAUCAUUUACCUGACUUUCGUAGAGGUAGACCAGUAUCUGGUAAAGAAGAGAUAUUCAAUCAUUCACAUUCAUCAUUACGUAGCGUGAUUGAACGAACUUUUGGUGUUUUGAAAAAAAAUGGGUCAUUUUAAGGGAUAUGCCAAGUUAUAGUUUUAAGAAGCAAACGAUGAUCGUUGUUGCUACAAUGACAAUACACAAUUUUAUCCGAAAACAUGUCGGUCGAAAUGAUGCAGAUUUUAUGGAAUACGAAGACUGGGCAUAUGAGAAUAUUAUUGAUUCAGAAAAUGCGCAUGGUUGAGAAAGUGAUGAUGACGACGACGAUGACGAUGACGAUGAUGGUGAUGAUGACGGUGAAUCAAACAAUUUAAGUGGUUUUGAAAUGGAAUUAACAAGAGAUGCUAUAGCUUCUAGUUUAAUGAAUUCACUUUAAAUUGUAAAUGCUAUUGUAAAAUUUUUAGUAUUUAUAUUUGAUAUAUAAAUAUUAUCCCUUUUUAAAACUUUAAUCCAAAUAUAUGUAAUAUUUUAAUUCGUUAGGUUUAUGUUUUCUAUGUUAUGUUAGUAUAUAUAUGAGUUAUAUAUUCAAAUACAUUUUAAAAUAAAAUAAUAAAAUAUGUUAAAAGCAUUAAUUAAAAAUAAAAAAUAAUUUUUAUAAUAAUAUAAUCAUGUCAAUAUCUAAUUACAAAUAUUUAAUUUUUAUAUUUAAAUAUUUAAAUAUUUAAAUAUAGUUUAUAUAUUCUAAUUAAAUUUUAUAAAUAAUUAAUAUUAAUUACUUAGAAAUUUUUAAAAUUAAUAUUAUAUAUUAAAAUAUUAACAAUAAGUUAUAAUAAAUUAUUUUUUUUAUAUUUUUGCUAAAAUAUCAUAAUAUUAACUAAUUUGAACAUUAUUUAAAUACAUAUUUGUUACUUUAUAAUCUCAUGUCUAAAAUGAACAUUUUAUUCUUCAAAAGCACUUUUUGACAGCAAUGCCAAACACUCAAAUUUCUCAAAAGCACUUCUCAAAAGCACUUCUCAAAAGCAAUAAAGAACUGGCCCUAAGUCAACAUGUGUAAGCCACCAUUCCUUUGAGAAUAAAAAUAGUGACAGUCUAGGGCUCGACCCUCCAGAGUUAGCAUCACUGUAUGAACUUUGCUUGUCUUAGGAGUUCCUUUAGCCUUGAAGAAUUGCUCCAGCUUAGGCCACCAUCCUCUAAAAUCAUUACCAUUGAACUUUGGACACUCGAGCCUACUAGGUCUGUCAGAUCCAUCAACCAAAGGCGAGUAAUUCUGCAGGUGGAAAUUGCCUAUGUCAAUAGGUGGAGCAACACUUACCCCAGCAGUAACUUGACUAGCAUUUGGCACAACAAAAUCUUUAGGAGAAAAACCAGGUGGUGCUCCCCCCAUAACGCUCUUUCCCUUGCCAAUGACUCCAGUAGUGGGUGGUCUAAAAUAUUGGCCAAGAAAGGUUUGAAGGUCCCCUCUAAACUUGUCCUUGAACUCUUGGAAUUUAGUGUCCAUCUUAUUGUCCAGUCGAACCAAUUCCUCUUGAAUCUUGGAAAUUUCUUACUGCAUUCCACUGAUCUCUUUUUGUAAGAUAGUAGAAACACCAUCUCCAGCCAUAGUAGGGAUUGAAGUGAGCUCUGAUACUUUUGAUACACUAUAAAAUCUGAGUUAGAACAAUAAGGAAAACAGAAGAAAAAAAAAAGGAGAAAGGGAGAGAAGUUUUGUACAACUUUUUUGUGUAUGUAUUUUGAUAACCACCUUUCCUUACGGCUAGAGUUUAAAAGAAAGAGAAAGUAGACGUGGCAAAGUUAGUUACAAUCGCCAGCUAGUCCGUUGAUGCUGUCACCAUUUCACUAAAGACAUUACCCCUUAAUUCUAACGCACUGUUUCAUCCCAUACAUCAUAUUUUCCUGAUUUAAAUUCUACCCAUAACAUUAAGGAAAACAAAAGAAAAAAAAAGGAGAAAGGGAGAGAAGUUUUCUGCAACUUUUUUGUGUAUGUAUUUUGAUAACCACCUUUCCUUACAGCUAGAGUUUAAAAGAAAGAGAAAGUAGACGUGGCAAAGUUAGUUACAAUCGCCAGCUAGUCCGUUGAUGCUGUCACCAUUUCACUAAAGACAUUACCCCUUAAUUCUAACGCACCGUUUCAUCCCAUACAUCAUAUUUUCCCGAUUUAAAUUCUACUCAUAACAUUUACUUUAGGCAAUGUAUACAGCGAAGUGUCCACCCACAUCAUAAGCUUCAAAAUCUAACAUUAAAAUCUGUUCAAAUCUAUUGUUGGUUUUCAAGGGACCUUUUUCUAUUAUUAUACUGGGAUGAAGAAUAUAUUUUUUCACGCAUUAUACUCUUGAGCAUUUGAAAAUCAUUAACCAGGAACUUGUUUCGAUCAUUCCAAUCCAGCUUCCUAUGGGUUUAUGAUGAUUGCGCGUUCGAUGUUUGGGUUUUUUUUUUCAGUAGUUUAGGGUUAUUGGAUUUGAAUUGGGUGGGUAAAACGAAAAUUGAUCUUGGGGAAGUUUUAUUUUAUUUGUUAUUUAAGUUUUUAUUUGAAGGAAAGUAAAGAUUAAAAAUUAAAUUAUACGGACCAAUAAGAAUUCGACACUUGAAUUAUUAUUAAUAUUUUUUUCUUUUAAAAAAAAUAAAUUAUUUUAAUUUUUUGAAUCAAAUUAAUUUACUUAAUAUCGAAAUCCCACAGUUUCUUUACCUAAAUUUCUUUACUUUGUUUAGAAGAUGAUUACGAAAUGCUGAGCUGUCUCAGGAAUCCAGAACUUUUGCUUACGCCACUCCACUCGUUUCUUUUAGCAAUCCAACGGCCACCUAUCAGAAAAUCAUCACUUCGCGUAAGCAGAGGCAAACCUUUUUCUCUAGCUGCACGUUAUCGCUUUGAGUUUAAAGGAGUGCCCUAAGCAAUUUCAAUAAAAACCCAAGUGACAUAGACAGUGAGAAAGUUUGAACUUGAGAAUAAUUGACUAAAAUUCUAUAAACAAAACAGUCGAAUAGUAACAAGUUAUAUAUUUAUAUUUUUAAAGCUUAAAUUCUACAAAUGAAAAUUAAAAAUUAAAAUCUAGUUAAUGCCACUAAAUUAGUAGUAAAUUUAUGUUAUAGUUAUUUAAUUUUAAAAUAUUAAAAAAUAGUUAUAAAAUUAUUCAAAAGUUUUCAUAUAAGUAAUUGAACUACUCAAAAUAUUUUAUUUAAAUUAUUAGACUUUUAUGUUUUCAUUUUCAAAAAAAAAAAAGAAUUUAACUAGCAAGUUUCAAGUGAUGAUCGAUAUAAAAGAUCAAUACCCAUCGAUGAAUAGAAAACAUACUUUAGAUCUAAAUUGGUCUGAUGCUUAGUAUCAAAGAGUGGAAAAAAUAUAUUUAUAUUUUGACUCAUAGAUUCAUGACAUUUAAAACUCUUUUAUGAAAAACAAUUGAACCGUAGAAAAAAAAGGGAAAUAAAAUUUUUCGAUUAGUAUAAGCGAUGUGAAUAAAAAAAUCAUACAAUAAUAACUUUAACAGUCCAGUUACUUAAGUCAAAAUUUUCGAAUAGUUUAAUUAUUAUUUUGUAACUUGUUUAAAGUUAAGUAAUCGAAAUAAAAAUUUAUGGAGUUUAGUAAAAAAAUAAUAUUAAAAAAAUAUUACUUUCCGUUUAGGUGUUAGACCUAACUAGAUUUCAAAAUUAAUCAAAAAGAAAAAGGGAAAGAGGAAGAAAGAGAAAGGAGAAGAAAUAAAAUUCCCAACACCCAAAGUCCAAAUAUAAUAAAUCUAUACCAAACCAUAUUCAGCACUAUAUAAUCUAUAAUUCCAAGCUAAAACUUGUGUCCCAUCUAUCCUUUUUUUUUCUUGGUAUUUUCUAGAGGCUUUGCAAGUUUGCAAAAAAAAAAUGAGUGACCCCAAAUAUGCUUAUCCCUACCCUGCUCAAGGUACUCUUUUCUUUGUUUUUUAUGUAAAUUUCCCCUUAUAAAGCCUCUGCAAGUUACUUAAGUUCUCAGUUUUUACAUUACUGGCCAUUGUUUUUAUUUUUUCUCAAGAACUUCCUUUGUUUAUGGCGAUGGGGUUUUAUUUUUAGGGUGAUUUGUGUUUUUUCUUGGCCGAUUUUCCCUUUGGAUUAAAGGAAAUAUUAAGGGUAGAUUUUGGUGUAAUUUUGUAUUAUAAAUUUUUUUGGUUAGCAGGUUAUUAUCAAGGUCCCCCAGUGAUGGCACCACCGCAAUAUGCAGCUCCACCACCUAGGAGAGAACCCGGUUUCCUUGAGGGCUGGUUGGUGCAAUAUUUUUGAAUUAAUUUUAAUUUAUUCUUUUAAUGUGUAAAUUUAAUUAAUUUAUAUAUUUUAUUUUUUGGCAGUCUUGCAGCUUUAUGUUGCUGUUGUCUUAUUGAUGAAUGUUGCUGUGAUCCAUCCAUCAUCUUUAUCAGCUGAGAAUAAACAAAAAUAUUCUCUGUAAUCUCACUAUAUAUAUUGUGAUGCUAGGUUUAAAUUCUUAGGAGGAUUAAUCUUUUUAACACUAAUAAAAUUAUAAUUUAUAGAUAGUGAUGAUGGGUGUGUUUGUGUUUUGUGGUUUGAAGAACUUGUUGCUUUAAGUUUCUGUUUUUCUUCUUCAUCUUUGUAAUUUUCUUAAGCAAUGGAAGAAAAUAAUCAGCGAAUUUCCAGUAAUUAUUUUAUUUUUCUCUUUUCAAUUAAUUAAUUAUGUGGCUAAUGAAAAGGACAUUGGUGGUUCAGAUUCAUUUGAGCUGUAAACCAAUUCAUAAAUUGUGCAGUUACCUAUUUGGUCCUAAAGUGAUUUAAAUGUCAAUAAAAAUAAAUGAUUGAAUCAAAUCACUUUGAACUUUAAAUGAGUGUAAAAGGUUGGACUUUGGGAAUUAAUAAAGGUUAAAAAGCGGGAUGGAUUCGGAUGAUUUCGGGUUUUUUAUAAGACGAAAUUGAGUUAAGAAUGUGUUGUCCCAAGAGGUUGUUCAAUCGUGGCCAAUCGUCAUGCAUGCGCUAAACCGGUUGUAAUGAGGCGUAAGCCACUUAAAAAUGAAAAAGGGGGGGGGGGUAUUCGAUUCCGAUAAUGGCAAUAUAUUAUUUAGUCUUGUUGAUUAGUGAGAGGUAACAAGGGAAGAGGAUGAUGGUUUGAUAAAGAAGAGGGGAGUAUGAAGGUUGGAAGGAAAUUUUGGCCACAUGGAGAUAGUUUACAGGUUCAGUGCGGGAAGUAUUUGAGAAUAGAUUUACAUGAAUUAUUUGCAUGUCUUUUUUAUAGUGGGGACAAACUUAGCUACGUACCCUCAGUUUGUUGACAUGGAACUCUGAUUUGAUAUCCUUGUAAUGGUGGUGAUAUAACGUCCUAGGAUGAGACAUUUUAGGACGACUAACAAUCAAUUACUCUGAGUCUCCAUGUGGUGCUCAUAUUGCCUCAGCGAAGGUGCACCGUUCUAAAGUUCGCCAGGCUAUGGUUCGCAAACUAGCUUUAGGUUCGUGGUACCAUUGGUUCCAUUGGAAGACACAUGUCAAGUUCUUUAUGUUGUUCUGUGAGGUUCGCAAUGUUCGCUAGACAAGGUGCAACAAUUUCCCCCCAGGCAAGUGAAGGUUAUAAAGUGACCUUCGUGAGCCUGGUGAAAAAGUCUCAGCAUGGGUGUUUAUGAUGGAAACGUCUUAAAGAUUAUGAUGAAGUGUUAUACAUUGUAUAGGGGUUCUCAUUCUAAGUUUGAAUAUAUAUAUAUUUUAAAUUUGUAGUUUAAAUUUUAAAAAAUUGAAAAAUUUAAACUAUUUAAAUUUAUAGUGGGAUAAAUGAUUGUUAUUUGUUUGUUCAUUUGAGUUGAAUGAUGAAUUUGGCAAAAUGUGCUAUGUGUAACGAUGUGUUGAUUGAAUUUCCAAUGAAAUCGUCAUCAUCUUUAAUAUUUAGAUACACAUGCUGUGUGUUAAUUGGAGGGACCUUUCUUGUGCACAUGUGAUGGUGCAUGCAUGUGCACGUGAUAACUUACCUAAGAAGUUUCAUAGUAAUCAAAGGGUUUCAUCUUAUUUAUAAAUAUGGAUAAAUUUUUAAGCCUCAUUACCAUUUGCUUUCUAUGUUUUUAAAUUUCUACAAUUCCUCUUUCUUCUGUGUUCUUGGUGCAAUUUAGUUUGAUAGGUUCUAAUCACUUCAAUUUCUUUAUAUUACUUUUUCAUUUUCCUUUUUAUUGUUAGCAAAACAUGGUUCCGAGAUUGCUUAGUGUUCCUGCUGAAAGUAAGGAAUUUGAGUGUACAACGUUUGUAGAUGAGAUGUGAAAAUUGUUGGAGUGUAGGGUAAUUACGUGUUUUAGUAAUUUUAGAUACAAAUUUUACAUUUUGAAGGGGAAACAUCGAUUGAGUGAUAUGAAAAAUUGUAAGAGAGAAAAUCGUUGGUUUCUUUUGCCCUUAUACGUUUUUGAAGUAGGGUUUCAUAUGUCUCUGUAUCUUUUCUUUGUAGAAUUGUUGAAUUCAUACGAGGUGACUCUUGGGCAAUUAAUGGGUUCCUUGUGGUGGAUUUUAAUGGGUAUUUAUUACAUUACCAGCUACAUGGAGAAUAAACUUCUGUAAAUCUAUUCAGAAGAAUAUACAUUGUAACCCCUGCUAGUGAAAGCAAUAAAAAAGGGUUUGUAAUGUUUGCCACUCUAAGGGGAGGGAAAGUUGUUGUAGAUAACACCACCAACAACUUGCAUUUGGCGAGGGAUAUAUAUAUUGAAAUUAAGUGAACUUAUGGGGAAUUCCCUUUUCUUUUGGCCUGGGUUAAACCUUCCACUGAAAAAAGCAAUUGAGAUCCUUGUUCGUUAAUGUUAGAGUAUGCCCAAAGACCAAUCAUAAGAUGAUUGUAAUCACAUACUCGUUUUUACCUUAUUUUUAAUGCAAGGCAUUGCCAUUGUUAUUUCAGUUUCUUUUCUGUGUGUAUAAAUAAACUAGUUAAUAAUAAAGUAUCAUAUUCUAAAAAGGUCAUUCGUCGAGUUUUAUUAUGGGCUUGGACAAUGAUAAUGCAUUGAGACUAAUGUAUAGUUGAUUGAUGACAAAGUGUUGUCAUUGACAUAGGGACGUCAAACUCAAUACAUGUGUAUGUGUUAGAGAAAAACAUACUAGACUAACCUGCCAUGAGUAUGUUUCUUGGAUUAUUAUGUAAUAGCCACAAAUAUUACUCAUAGUGAUAACUAUGUAUAUGACCCUCAGACUUGAGAUCAUCAUUGUCUCAACAUCGUGAGUCGUAUAUGUUGAUACAAUCAAACAUAUACCUUAACAAGUUGUACUAUAAAACUGAUCUUGGAUAUACCACAAUCCAUUUAGUGGGAUAUGGUUGAUCAAGACAUGAUUUAUCCCUCUUACAUAAUGGGAUCAAUAUUUUAGGUCUCUUGAUGGAUUAUGUAGAAGCCGAUAUGUUAUUGUUGCGACUUGGAAUCGCCAUCUCCGAAAGGGAUCCUAUCAACAACGUCAUUCAUUGCUUUUCAGUUUUUGAAAGGUAUAUUUUCAACCUUUGUUUCAACUUGAUUUGUUCCUCGUACAUGGAUCCUUGGUUGACGAUCGCCAGAAUAAUUUUUCCGCCGCGCCAUGGGGCGUAAUGAUGAUCCAACAGUUAAAUGCAGUAGAAGAGGCUCAAUUCAAAAGAUUGCAAAUAAGUCCGCCAAUUAGGUAUAAGCAAGUUCACAGCUUGAGGAACGUUUGGCGAUUCAGCUUAAUGGAGAAAAUUCAAAAUAGUUGAGAUGAUGUGGACUUCAAUACCCUCAGUGAAGCUCAACUUGAUGGAACAAAUCCAUGUAAUGAGGCUUGAACAUAUAUGGGUAUAACAAUGUAAUAGCAGAAACUCUUUUAGGAUUAUUUAAAGAACCCAAAAAUUGGUUAUUUGAGUAUGCCUUUUGUCAAUAGUGUAGAUGAGACUAUUGAAGCCAGAAAGGAGAAAGAAAAUGUGUAGCUACGAGGGUUCCAAGAGCUAUAAAAAGAAAGAAAACUGCGUAGGUGAUUGAAGUUUCACGAGCUAUUGAAACCAUUUAAGGAGUUAAAAUUGUUGAUGUUACUCAAGAACCAGCUGAGGGGAGUGAAGGACCUAAUUUGGAGGUUCGUAAAAAGAGAAUAAGAGAUCCAUAUUCAAAUUCUCUUCCUUUUGUUGGUGAAGGUCCCUCAAGCGAGAAUAUGAAAGAUACCAAGUCUCACACGGACUUUAAUACACAAUCUAGUAUUGGAGGUAUUACUUCAAACUUUCUAAUUUGUUGCAUUUGUUUUCGUAGGUUUUUUUUAUAUUCUAGGCAAGUGAACUAUUGUAACCAAGUGAAACAUUCUCAUUAAAGAUGAAUAGCCAUAGUAAGGUAUCUGGAGCUAAGAUUUAUCCCUUGAGUGUUUCAUUAGGUUGUGAGAUUUUUGAUGAAGUUCUUUGUGAAAGUUUUAAUUGGUUUUCUAGCAGUAGUUCCGGUGUGUGUAGCUUUUAUUACUUAUUUUUUUGCUAGAAUUUAGAGUACUAACUGUUUGCGAAGAACUUAUGUGGAGGAGAAAGUUUACUUGUGUCUUGAGAUAAUUCGAUUGAUAUGCAAGUGUAUACAACCAUUGACAAGAAAUAAAGUGAUAAGUAAAGAGUAUCAUCUCUAUAGGGAUUGUAUAAGAAAAUUUUAUGAAAUAAGACUUAGCAAAUUGGUAUUAAAAAUAAUUAAGGGUCAAUUAGACAAACUACUCUGUUUAACUAAAAAUCACCUAAGAAAAAUUAAAUGAAAGAAAAACACAGAUAAAAGCAACAAUUCACAAAAACAAACCUCAAUGACAUAAAUGUGCUAGAUUAAUUAUCUUAUUUAACUAUGAGUUAUUAAAACCUAGUAAUGACGUACAGAAAAAACCCAUGGCAACUCGACUGUUCAUUAACUCAUGAAAUCAUACUUAUUAAAUUAUUAAAUUUUUAUAACACAAGUUUAUGUUAAAUCAACUUGGUAAUUUUCAUAAGCGAUUAUUCAUAUUAAGUGAGGUAACGAAAUAUUUCUAUGCUGAAAUAGUUUAAUCACAUUAAUUCUAGGGUUAUGAAAGGUAAUAAGUUUUUUCAAUAUUAUUACUAAUUUAACCUAUUUUAUCAUAAAUAAGAUCAAACAUGCAUAAAUUAGAUAGUGUGCCAAUUAAUUUCAAUCUAGGUCUGAUUAAAUUAUUAAUUCAGUUGCACCCACACAUUCAUAAUACAUAUAUAACAUGUCAUGAUUUUAUCUGACUGAGUGAACAGCCAAGACACAUAACAUCAUUAACAACAUUUUAAUAAAUCUAAGCUAAAAAACAUAAUCAAUGUAACAAUAAUAAAUUUAAGUCGUUAUGAUUAAGCUGAAAAAAAAUAUUUGACAAACAUGUUCAUCAAUGAAAAACAAAGUAAAAGUAAAAAUAGGAAGAACAAGAAGACAAAUCCAAUGUUUUUUUGCUCAUGCUCCCUUAUUUCUUUUUGCUUUGCUCGUAUUGCACAAAUCUCCUUAGGAAUGUCAAAAAUUUUCUUCCCAACACGCAUUGGAAUUUCUUCUCUCAACUUUCUACGUUAUUUUCUCAAAUGGGGAGUAGAAGAAUGAAAGAGAGGAAAAUAGAUGAUGAGUGAGUGAGUGAUGAGUUGAGUGAUCAGAUAGGGCCUAUUUAUACAUGAAGGGAGUGGCUAUUUUUAGCAAAUUGAAGCCUUGAAAGUAUCUCCCCCAUGGCCGAACCUUGCUUUAAGGGAAUGAAGUUAAUGGCUUUGCUAAAUUUAGCUUGGUAAAUGAGAGAAGAAGCUUUAAAAGGGGAAUGGGUUUGAAUAAAAAUAUGAGGUAGUUUUUUGGUUGUUUUCUAAAUACUUUAAUCAGCCUUGGAUGGUUGAUUUGGGCUCGUUGAUGGACAAUUUGGCCUCUCUCCCUUAAUAGGAAAUUCGAGCUCUUUUCUCCGUAGCAGACUGUCUAAUUUUUCUCCCCAAAUUCUGAGUUGGGUUAAGCAUGUCCAUUAAUCCCUUAAUUGGGGCUUCAAAACCUAAUUAUUAAUCAUCCCUCCUUUGCAUGGCUUGUGCUAUAGGGAUGCUACAAUAUUUGAGUUUCAAAACACCACCUUUAAGACCGUCCUUUCUUCAAAUGCACUAAAUUGCUCCGAAUUGGAAAAAAUAUGUAAUUUUAGCAUAUAAAUAAUUAAAAUUAGAGAUUUAGAUUUAAUUUUUUCCAAAUUAGAUAUUAUGUAAUAAAAUUACAAAAAUAUGAUAAAAAACACUUGAAAAUUUACAUGAAUUAUUAGUUUGAAAAGGCUUUAAAAGUCUAUAUCUUUUGGAGUUAUAAACAUGCAAGAGAUAAUAAGGGUAUUUCUAUUAACCUUGAGGUUCUUGCUACUCUCAACAUGUCCACUGCACUUGCCUCAACAUUUCCUAUAACUCAAACGUUCGCUUCUUUAAUUGCCUCAACAAGUUGUACUUAAAUUGCUUCUGCCUCGAUUGUCUUUAGUUCACCAAUUUUAGCCACUUCAGACUCAAACAUUAAGGAAUUAGUUAAUAAAAUUCUAAGUUCUGUAAAGAGUGAACUCAUAAAUCAUAGGCCUCCUAUUCCUCCCAAGGAUCAACAACAAAAGAAAAAGCAGAAAACUGUUACUCUAGGAGUUCAACCACACAAAAUCAAUCCCCUUUCACCGCCUCUUCAAGUAACUCUAGCGAAAUCACUCAUAUUAUUCAUUCUCUUCCAUUGAGUUUAUGUAACGAGUCUGCUCCUUUAACUGGCUUAUCUUCAAGUUCGCAGAGCUUAUUUAGUGGCUUUGUUUCCUUAAAUAUAUCCGGUAAUAAGUCUAUUAUUAUGCAUUAUUUUCUUGAUUAGUAUACCCACUAUUUUAUUUAAAACUAACAACUUAAUUUGAUUCUCUUUUAGUAGGUUCUUUCCCUAGUAUAUCCACCAUAAUACACAACUUCAAGCUCAUCUGCAUCAUCAGUUGCUCUUUAUUCAACUUUUUUAACUUUAUCAAUUCCUCAUUCUAUUGGUGUUUCAAUAACUUGAAUAAACUCUCUUUCUGUUGGCGUUCUUUCUACAUCUAGAGGACCUUCUCAAAGUUCUCCAGCCAUGAGCAGUACUUCCUCUGGAAUUUAACCUGGUGGGAUAAUGGAGAGUCUUAUAAGCCCUUAUUCCUGCUAUUUUCUUUAGCGAGGAUUUGAAGGAUCAUGCAUCUUCUUUCAUCCUAACAAAGCAACCGAAAAAAUGUUGGGAUGGUUUCUUUCAAAAUAGAUUGAGGGCCCACCUGUAAUGUACCCUAUGGAUUUAUGGAAGAAAAUUGACAUUCAAGAGUAUGAGAAGAAUUUUGCGCACCAACAUAUGAGUAAAUCUUUAAAGCAAAAAGAAGUUCAACUGUAAAACUUAAAUACUAAGAAUGAGGUUUAAAAAGAAAUUAGUUUAUGAAGUCACCUCAAGGUAAGCCAUUUUAAAAGAAAAAAAUUAAACCUUUUGAAGAAUUAAAUAUGAAAUUGAAGGAAGAAGCUACGAAGCUGACAGGAGAAAAUGAGGGCUUUCAAGAAGGAGAAAGUUGAAUUUGAAGCUCGCAUGAAAGAGAUGACUUUGAAGUGUGUGAAUGAAAUUGCUUCUUUGAAGAGAUCUCACAACGGCGAAGCUGCUCAACUUAGGGAUGAAUAUAAAGCGAAUAUGAAUGUCAUGAAAGAAGAUAUAAAGAAAAGUUUGAAGAAAAAAGAUGUUGAAUCGAAUCUCUUCAAACUGCCAUUAAAGCUCUCAAAAAGGAGAAAGAUAUUGAAGUCACUUUAGGUAAGGCAAAGAAAAACAAAGUCAUCGAGGAAGCCAUAACUACUGCAAAAGCUAAAGUUAAAAGCACAUUCAAAUGGGCUCAGCAUGGUGCUACACUUGGCAUUCAAGUGGCUCAUGACCCACUCAAUGUUUCCAAUGUUCUAUUGGGUAAAUUUUGCGAUACUAUAAUGAACUUUGAUAUACUCAAUCCUGUUGGUCUUUAAUGGGAAGCUUUUAGAAAGGAUUAAGAGCUGUUGUAUUGUUUCCUCCUGGUACUCAUGCUAACUCAACCCUUGGAGAGGAAGAAAUAGAUGGUGGAGGUGGAGAGGAUUAAGAGCUCUUUGAUUUAUUUUGUAAUUAAAAUGAUUUUCUUCAAUCGAUCUAUUCAUUUGCUUUCUUAAUGUAAAUUUACUUUUAGCUUGACUUCUUAAAGAUAACUCAUUUCUUUAAAGUGAAUUUAGAUAACACUUAUUUAAAGUGGCUUUACCUCUUUAAGGUAAUUCGUUUCUUUAAAGCGGACCUAGAUAGCACACUUCUUUAAAGCGACUUUACCUUUGUAAGGUAACACACUUAUUUAAACAUGCUUCUUUAAAGCGAACUUAGAUAACACACUUUUUAAAAGUGGUUUUACCUCUUUAAGGUAACACGCUUAUUUUAAAACGAACUUAGAUAGCCCACUUCUUUAAAGUGGCUUUACCUUUUAAGGUAAUACGCCAUUUGAUGAAAUCUUAGUUUGGCGAGCUCUAAGGUUUGGCGGACUCUUUUGUUAAGUAUUUGCCCAACCCAGAUAGUUUGGGCGAACUCAUUAAAUUCGCAAUUGUUUAGUUUUGUUUAUUAUUUUUGUAUGGUGAUUUAGGACCAGUUCUUCAUUGUUUAAAAAAAGCACUUCUGAUUCCAAAAGCACUUUUAAAAAAAACUGUGAAGAGCAAGCUGCUUUUGGCUAAAAUUUUUAGCUUUUCAGAAGUGCUUUUCACAAGCACUUAUGAAAAGGAGAAGCUAAAAAUUUUAGCUUUUCCUCUCCCAAAAGCACUUUUGGUACUUAAUUACUUUUUCACCCCUCCAAUAACAUAGUAUUUUCCUUUUUUUUUCUUGGUGCUUAAUUACAAAUGUGUUAAAAUCAUUAAUUAAAAAUAAAUUUUUUUUUAAAAAAUAAUAAUUACAAAUAUUUAAUGGUUAUAUUUAAAUAUUUAAAAUAUAGCUUAUAUAUUAUAAUUAAAUUUUAUAAAUAAUUAAUAUUUAUUGCUUAAAAAUAUUUAAAAUUUAUAUUUCAUAUAUUAAAAUAUUAACAACAAGUUAUAAUAAUUUUUUUUAUAUUCUUACUAAAAUAUAAUAAUAUUAACUAAUUUAAAUAUUAUUUAAAUGCAUAUUUGUUACUUGAUAAAAACAUGUCUAAAAUAGACAUUUUAUUUCUUAAAAGCACUUUUUGACAGCAAUGCUAAACAUUCAAAUUUUAAACCAAACUUUUCAAAAGCACUUCUCAAAAGCACUUUUCCACAACACUUUUCAAAAGCACUUUUUCAAAAGCAAUGAAGAACUGGCUCUUAGUCAGUCAAGUUGAAGUCUAGUUAGAAUAGAACUAGACUAUUGUAUAUGAUAAGACCUAAAUUUUGUUAAGUGCACUCAAUCACGUGAAUUAAGAGAGUUAGUGGAAUUAUAUGAUUUUUCCACUAAUUCUUGUCUCUCUGCUUAAGUAUACAAGGAUAGCGCUUGUCUUUCUGAACACCUUUUAUGUCUUAUUCUUGAUUUUCUUCUGAAAGUCUCUAAAAAGCUUAAGUUUAGAGAACUUCUUCAAAGUGAAGGUUUGCAGUAUCUAGUCAACAUAUACGUUAGUACCAGCUCACUGAUAAUUUUCGAUGAACCCUUAGGUUAUCAUUGAAGUCAUUUAUGAGUUUUUCGUACUGCAUGCUUAGACGCUAGAAUGGUGUGUGAGGAAUGAAACUUCUUGAUUCUGGAUUAAGUGUUGUUGAUUCUUGCAUGCAUGUUCAAAUUUGAUAGAUUGAUGAUAUGAUAUGCAUAAAUAUAUUUAUUUUAGCUCAAUAAGCUAACGAGGGUCCAAGUGAUAAAGGCAAAGGACCUGCUUUUUAGAUUGUGCUAGAAUUUUUGGUGAGUUCCUUCUUACUUCCAUGUAUUGUAAAUUUCUUGUUUAAAUAAUUCAUGUAAGGUAAUUAAUCCUCAUCUGUACUGGAUGAAAUGAGUAUAUGUGGAUAAUGGAUAUCCAAAGUCAUCAGUCUGAGUUCAGUCAGUUUGUGAUAUAAAAUAAGUGUCGUUCUUCAUGCUUAAGCCAUUACCAUCUUCUUCUGAAAUGCAUGAUAUGAUCUGGUCUGUGGUGCUGGAGAAGAUGAGAUAUGUUUGUAUAGCCUCCGGUAGGACAGCUAUAUUGCAAACCGGAUUGGCAGGUAACGAUAAAACAUGCUAUUCUGAAUGAAAAUGAUAUAAGAUAUUAAGAAGGUGAAUGUAUGAAAAUGAGAAUUUAUAAUAUGCUUGUGAUUUUGAAUUCUUGAUACAUGGUUGGCAUGAAGAUGUGUUGUCUAAGUUAUGUUAAGUUAGUGAAUAGUAUACUCCCAUGUGUUAAGUAAGUUGGCGUACCCAGUCUGUUUAUUUUCGGUAUACGCCAUUAGGCGUACUAUGUUCAUUGUGUGUAAGUGUCUCUGAAAGGUUCGGUUGUAUUGUAAGUAAUGUUAUGUAUGAUUUCUUUUUGGAACUCACUAAGCUCAUAUGAACUUACUCUGUUACUUUUUCCUUCUUAAGCUUGCUGACUGAAGGAAGACUUUGUUAGAAGGACUACGCCAUAGUGCUGCUGCUAUUGUGAGCUGACUGUUUUGUUCUAUAUCAUGCAUGACUUUUGGGGGUGGCAUAUAAAUGUAUUUUGGAAAUGAACUGUAUAAAUAACUUAUAUUUUGAAAAAAAUAUGUUUUUACAAGAUUUCUAUUAAGUAUCAAUGUCUGGUUGUGAAUUAUUGCAUUUUGUUUAAUGAACUAUUAUAUUUGAACUUAUACGCCAAAUGGCUUGAACGCUAUUUCAAAUUGUUAAUGAUUUCAUUUAAACUUCAGUAAAACCACAACUAUCAUAUGUUUAUAUGUAUAACUUUGUAAUAAUUUUAUAAAGUUUCUGCCAAAUUGUUUUGCUAUAAGUUAGUCCGAUUUGAGUAGUGACACAUCAAGCUCGUAUCUUAUCAUAUGCUCGGGUUUGGCAUGUUUUAGGGGCUCAUUUUUAUACUUCAUCAUUAACCCAGAGGAUUUCAUUUUUUGAAAAUCAUGUAAAUGUUUUUCUAACUUCUCUACUUUUUGUUCCAAAGUAUUUUGACUAGCACAAUUACAACUAUCAUCAUAAUCCUCAUCAUUAUCUUUAUCAUCCAUAUCAACAUCUUUAUGUAACAACUCGAAAGUCAGUGGAGUCAGAAACGAUGAUUUCGAAAUGUUGUUUUCUAAUGAUAGAAUUUAUGGAUAUUAUUUAUUAAUAUUUAUGAGGGUAUUACAGUAUUAUAUUGUUGUUUGGUCUAAUAAUUUUAAUUCUUUGGAAAGUUAGACAAUGUACAAGUGUAUCGGUUCUAAAGUCAGUGAUUUUGGAAAUUGAGGUAUCGGGAUCUUGUUUCUGUAAACUGGACUCGUAAAUAUUUUUAUUAAAUAUUUACAUAAAAAUAUUUACGGAGUUAUAUUAGAGGCGAAUUAAAUUUUGGAUAAGUAAAUUGCAUGAAUUAGGAACUAUUAUGAUACAGGGACUAAAUCACGUAAAUGUGAAAAGUUGAAUUAUAAGUUUAAAUAAAUAAAAGGGACUAAAGUAGUAAUUAAACCACUAAUUAAAUGAUGUUGGAUGGUUGUGGGGCAGUUGAUGAUGACAGUGUUAUAAUAUUAAUUAAAUUAAACAAUAAAACUUAUGUUAUAAUAAUAAAUAAAAUGAAAACAAAUGAAAAGAAUAUUAAGGAAAGUGGAAUGAAAGAGAAUUUUCAAUUCUCUUUUGCAUGCAUUCGGAACAUAAAGAGAAGAAAGAAAGAGUUGAAAGACAUUAGGGGUUUCAAGCAUUUCAAUUUCAAAUUGGUUAGUUUAAUUUAAUCCUUUCCUUAUAAUUUUUACGUUUUUAGAAUCUCGGUAUUUAGGGGUAGCUGACCCAUGUUGAAAUUUUUAAUAUUGUUCAAGAUUGAUAAUGUUACCAUUGUUGAUUAGUUGGAGUUUUAUGGAUUAAAUUGAUAGAUUUUUAAGUUAGAAGUGGAAAAGAACUAAAUUAUGGAAUUAAUUGUUGAUUUUGAGCAAUAUGGACUAAAUUGUGAAAAAAAUUGAAAUUUAGGGGUAGAAAUAAGAAUUAGGGAAUUAAAUUCAGCUUAGAGUGAAUUUGAUAUUAAAAUUUAGGGUUAAAUGUAGAAGUUAAGUUAGUCCCGACUUUAGGGACUAAAUUGAAUAAAGUGUAAAAGUUAUAUAAAUUAGCAAUUAAAUGUGAAAUUGUUUGUAUAUAAAUGAUAUGCAUGGUUUAUUUAUUUCUGUAGCUAAUGUCGACUCAAAUUCCUCGAAAAAAAAAGGGAAAAUGCAGGGUCGUCGAUGAAAAGCUCAGAGAUUACGAUUUGUAUUUCUAUAACCUAGAUCUUUUCAAUUGUUACAUUCACAAACUGCGUUGCAUGAUAAUGACAUAUGGUAAGGUGGAAAUGUUAGAACGAGCUGAAUUGAACUGAUUCGAAUUACUUAUUGACAUAAGGACUAAAUUGAAUAGAUUUGAAAAAUAUGAUAUGAUAUUAUAAUUGUGUAAUUGAGUUCAAUUAGUGAUGAAUUAUUCUGUUACAUAUGUGAUUUAAUGAUUGAUUGAUGAAAUUAUAUUGUAGAACUGAGAACUUGAGUAUAAUGAAAUUGAAAUAAGGGUUGAUAAUGGAUAUUAGUUUAUAAGCUCAGUUUAAGAUAUGUAAAUAGAUUGAAUAAUUAGAUGAUGUAAUAGGACUUGUAGUUUGACAUAUUAAAAUGCAUUAUAACCUUUAUAAUAUGUUUUAUUGUUCGAUUAUAGAAAUACCACUGAGUUUUUACUUAGCGUGCGGUUUUGUUUUCCGUGCGCAGGUUAGGUACUUUUCAAUUUGCCUCAGAUUCAACAUCCAACAAUGCAUCCCAGACUCAAGUGUGGUGAUGAUCUAUUUUGUAAUGGCAUGUACCUAGAAGGUCCUUUUUUGACGUUGUUUAUAAUGUGUUGAUAUUUUGGUUUUCUAGCUCGAUAAUGGUCAUUUAUAUAUAUAUGAUUCUGGUUGAAGCUAUAUUUGAUAUGUUAGCUUAGCUUAAGGUUUUGGUAUGUGUUUGUAGCUUAAAGCUUGAUAUCCUUAGUAGCUAGAUGUUAGUUCAAUAUUGGCAAAUUUGGUAUGAAUGAAAGCCUUGAAUGGUUGAUGUGUUGUUGAUAUGUUGGAAGAUAUAAAAUGUGGUACCAAUGAGGGUACAUUGGUUAGACACUUAGGAUGAUUAUUUUGACUUGUUUUGAGCAUAUUUAAUUGAGUUUUGAAUAGGUUAAAUGACAGGUGAAUUGGUUGCUUAGUGUCCAAGUAAACACAAUUUGAUAAACUUGAGUUUUAAGGUACAUUUAAGGACACAUGGCUGUAAGUCACACAUGGGCAACACACAUGAGCGUGUGCCCUGAACGUGUAGAAUAACAACAUAAGUGUAGUUUCCACACGGCCUGCAACAUGGUUGUGUGAUCCAAGUUAGUGAGUUACAUGGGCAGAGAAACAGGUUGGGACACGGCCGUUUGUCCUAAAUUUGAAAGUCACACGGCCGUGUGUCUCCUGUUUCUAGGUAUUUUGAGAUUUCACCCUAAACUUCUAGAAUUGUUUCAAAUUAGUCCCUGCCUGUUUUUAGACUAUUUUAAGGUCCUGUAAACUUGUAUUAAGGAUUGUAAGAGUAACUUUUACUCUGUAUUGGUAUGAUAUAGCAUAAUUCAUUAUUAAAUUGCAUAGACACGAUUAUAGAAAUAUUAAAUUAGCAUACAUUACUCCUGUAUCAUGUGAUGUUAAUAUUUAGCUUGCACCAUUGCUUGUGAUGAAAUUAAAUGCUCUAAUUGGUUAGUAAUGCCCGUGACCCUAAUAUGACAUCGGUGAGGGUUUAGGGGUGUUACACCUUAUCUACUAAAUUUUCAUUACAUUGGUCGGCAUGUUGUCGGUCUUGCCCAUAAUUUAUGAAUUUUUCCUUUUUACGCUUGGGAUUUUACUCUUGAUUCCUCCUAUUUGCUUUAAGCUCCUUAAUGAGCUUUUUAUUACUUUCAUUUCUCUCAUUCGCCUGCUUUUGCCUUUCCAUAUGCUCCUAGAUGAAUUUUUGUUGUUCAUCAUAUUUAUUUUGUUAAGAAGGCAUUUGCUCCUUCAUAAUCCUUAAUCUUUCUUGCAUGUCCAAACAUUAUUGAGUAUCAGACUGAUAAUGCCGAGACCCUUGACUCGUCGGUGAUGCUUCAGUAUGGUGCUAGUUUUAGGGAUUAUAAUACCGUGAAGGAUAUUGAUGAAAACACUGGCAUGGAUUUUGCUAGUAGGGAUUUUUUUGAUUUUGGCUUUGUAGGUUAUUUUGAUUAUUGCGGGAUUAUGUUUUUGUUGCCAUGCAAUGAAUCUGAAUGUUGGGUUGCUCUAGCUUGGUUAACAUUUGCUUCUAUGUUGUGACCGACGAGAUUAGAAACUUGGCUAUUAGCUAGGUCAAACCUCUAUUGGGAUGAUCAUUCCUGAAUUUAACAUGGUUUGUCUACGCUUACUACACCAAUUGUCGACCAAUGAAUUAAGAAGGGAAGAGGAUGAUGGUUGAUGAAGAAUGAGGGAGUAUAAAGGUUGAAAGAAUUUUUGAUCUCGUGGAAAUAGUUUAGAGGUUUAGUGUGGGAAGUAUAUGAGAAUAAAACUAUGUGAGUUGUUUGUAUGACCCUUUUAUAGUGGGGGCAGACUUAGCUACGUGCCCUAAGAUUGUUGGUGUGAAAGUUUGAUUUCAUACCCUUGCAGUGGCGGUGAUGUGACGUCCUAGGACAAGACAUGUUAGGACAACUAGCAAUCAAUUACUUUGAGGCUCCACGUAGUUCUCAUAUUGCCUUAACGGAGGUGCACAGUUUUAAAGUUCAUCAAGUUAUGGUUAGCAAACUAGCUGUGAGUUCGCGGUAUCGUUGGUUCCAUUAAAAGACACGUGUUAAGCUUUUUAUAAGUGUUUUGUGAGGCUCGCAAGAUUUACUACACAAAGUAUAAUAUAUUUGCACAUUAGUUAUGAUGUGAGAUAGAGAGGCCCCAUGUUUAGGUAUAUAUUACAAUUAUUAUCAUAAAGUUAUAUUCUUGGUUCCAUCUCUAUGGUUUAAUAAUGGAGUCUUUUUUAAAGGAUGAAUGAUGAAUAAGAUACCUUAGUUGAUCAAACAACCCAAAUAAGGACAUUCAUAUAAGAACAUAAAUCCUUCAAAAAAAAAAACAUAAAACCUAACACCAUUAAAGAUCAUAAUCGAUGAACAUGUUUUAAGGGUGUUGUAGUGCUUAAGCUGUACAUACAAACAACACUUCUCCCUAUGAAAUUCAACUUCAAACUCGAAUCUAAACUAAUAUGACGUGAUGAUGAAAAAUUUAAAAUUUAAAUUUACAUAAACUCAAAUUAGCACAUUUACGAAACUAUUUAAAUUUGAAAUAAUUUAAAAUGAUUUAAUACUAAAAUUUUGAAUUCUAAAUCCAAAUUCUAAUGACUCGAACACAGAACAAGUUGAAGUUGAAAUUAAAAUUGGCACAAAGUCAACUUGAUUUGCAAUUUCUUUUUUGAACAUAACUACAAGUGCCAUACAUUUUAUGAUUUGAGAUUAACCUUGCUUGUAAUGACCCGAACUGAAAUUGGCACAAAGUCAAUAUCUUGUAACUAUAAGUGUCCUCUAUUUGGGCUAAGGAUUAUAUGGUUUGGGAUGAAUUCAAGCUUGAAACUCAUAUUGACAUAAAACCAUUUUUUUUAAGUGUCAUUUUGUUCAGGCUAAAGAUGGUAUGAUUUGAAAUCAAUACUGUUCGUAAUGACCUGAACACAAAGCAACCAUUGUUUUUUUCCGACAACUACAAGUGUCCUCUUCUUCUUCGGGCUAGAACAAUAUUUAGGUAAAAUAUUUUCAAUAAUAACAAAUCCAAAUACUUGGAGGAAUUCACUUCCAAGUCUCAUAACACUAUUGAUAAAGCAUAACAUGUUCGACGCUUUUAAAGAUAAUAAAUUCAAAGAGAAACAGUAUGGGAUAAUUCACUGAAAUUCGACAUUAACAAGAACUUUUAGAUAGUUGUAUUACAGAGUAUUGUAAUACUUUUUUUCCAGGAAAGUUUAUUUUUGAAGGAAAAUAGAUAUGCAAAGCCAGAAUCUGAAAGAAACACAAGCGAAAUAUACAAACUUCAUAUAAUAAUAGCUGUACUUAUUCACCAGGAGGAAAUGGAAAUAAGCAGCAAUAAAUGCAAUGAUUUACUGGACCAUCAUUAUGAAUAAUGGUGAAACUCCCCAUGGACCAUCAAGCUUUUAUAGCCGCCUCCAUGUAUGUGGGAUUUUCACACCCAUUACUUUUUACCACACCUCCGGUUCCGACACAGGUAUUUAUAAGGUUGCCACACCCACCGCCACAACCACCGCAACUACCACAGCCACCGCUCUCCUCCUUGAGUCCACAACCACUGCUAUUCACCAUGCUUCCACAACCUCCGCCGCACCCACCACAGCCAGAGCCACAGCCACUGCUAUUCACCAUGCUUCCGCAACCUCCGCCACACCCACCACAGCCAGAGCCACAACUGCCGCUAUUCACUAUGCUUCCACAACCACCCCCGCACCCACUACCGCAACCACCACCACAGCCACCACUCUUCACCAUGUUUCCACAUCCAGCACCACAACCACCGGCACCGUAAGCCGCCACUAUUCACUAUGCUUCCACAACCACCCCCACAUCCACUACCGCAGCCACUACCACAACCACCACUCUUCACUGUUGAAUAUUGGCAAUAUCCCACAUUAGGAAAAGAUAGAAAGGGAGGGGGUUUGGUUUGUUAUAUAUAGAACCCCUCCCCCUUUGGUUGUAUUAUCCCAAAAUCUUCUCCUUUGUAAUAUUUCUAGAAGAAAUAUUAAUUUGGUAGUGUCCGAGGACGUAAGCUAAAUUGGCCGAACCUCGUUAAAUCUCUGGUAUUUUAUUUCUUAUUUGUUUGCUUAUAUUUAAUAGCUUUAUGUUGGUUAUAUUUAUUUAGUUAUUAUUGCUAUAAAUAUCUAAGUGAGUUCUGUCUAGUUGUUGGGUUUUAAGCGGGACCAUUUGUGACCCCUCCAAUUUAACUGGGAAUUUUCUUAGUAUAAUUGUUGGCAUAAUAAUUAUCUAAAUAUUUCUGAUAAUAUUGUUAUUAAUAUUAUCGUCACUUCCGCAACAAUUGGUAUCCGAGCCAAGGUUUUGUAGUAUGCUCUGUGUUUGCAGCUUAGUCUGAUCUUACACAUCAGAAACAUUUCCUAAAGCUUGUGGGUAUUCUGCAUUUGGUGGCUAUUAAGUAGAAGCUAUGGCAAAAAUGACAGAAGAAAAACCAUCCAUAUCAACAACUUCCACUUCGUACAUUUUGCCGAGGAUUGGAACUGCAAAUACGAGAUUUGUAGUGGAAAUUUUUGAUGGAACAGGUCAUUUUGGCAUGUGGCAAAGUGAGCUUCUAGAUGCCCUCUUUCAACAGGGUCUAGAUAUUGCCAUUGAGGAAGAAAAACCAGAAGGGGUUGAUGAUAAAGAAUGGAAGACCAUCAACCGAUUGGCAUGUGGUACAAUUCGAUCAUGUCUUUCCAGAGAGCAGAAGUAUACAUUCAGUAAAGAGACUUCUGCAAGUAAAUUGUGGAAAGCAUUGGAGGAGAAAUUCUUGAAGAAGAACAGUCAAAAUAAGUUGCAUAUGAAGAAAAGACUGUUUCGUUUCAAUUAUGUUCCUGGUACCACGAUGAAUGAGCACAUUACCAAUUUUAAUCAGCUGGUGGCUGAUUUGUUGAAUUUGGAUGUGACUUUUGAAGACGAAGACUUGGCGUUAAUGUUGUUGGGAUCGCUUCCUGAGGAGUUUGAGUACCUUGAAACUACUCUACUUCAUGAAAAAUCAGAAGUAACUUUCAAUGAAGUAACUGCUGCAUUGUAUAGCUAUGAACUACGCCGAAAGGAUAAGUUGAAAGGUUCAGGUGAAGCAGCAGUGGAAGCAUUGGUAACAAGAGGUCGUCAGCAAAGUCAGUCUAAUGGGAAGAGAAGAAAGUCCAAAGGUCGAGCUGUUGCCAAAGAUGAAUGUUCCUUUUGCAAAGAAAAAGGACAUUGGAAGAAAGAUUGUCCAAAAUUGAAGAAAAAAGGGAAGACUCCGCAAGAUGCAAAUGUUGCAGAAUGCCAUAGUGAAGCAGAGUCAGACUUUUCUCUUAGUAUGACAUCUUCAACAUUAUAUGCAGAUGAGUGGAUCAUGGAUUCUGGUUGUUCCUAUCAUAUGUGUCCCAUUCGGGAAUGGUUCUUUGAAUUUCAAAAACUAGAUGAAGGGGUUGUUUACAUGGGUAAUGAUAACACAUGUAAAAUAGCCGGGAUAGGUUCAAUUAAACUGAGGAGUCAUGAUGGAUCUACUAGAAUUUUGCGGGAUGUACGAUAUGUCCCAAAGUUGAAGAAGAAUCUCAUCUCUUUGGGGUCGUUAGAAUCUGAAGGCCUAGUUGUGACAAUACGAGAUGGAGUUCUUAAAGCAACUUCAGGAGCAUUGGUGAUGUUGAAAGGCAUAAGAAAGAACAAUCUGUAUUACUACCAAGGUAGUACAGUGGUUGGGACAACAGCAGCAGCAAUUUCGAGUACCAAGAAGGACGCUGAGGCAACACAGCUGUGGCAUAUGCGUUUGGGCCAUGCUGGUGAAAAAUCCUUGCAAACUCUAGCCAAGCAAGGAUUAUUGAAAGGUACAAAGACUUGCAAACUUGAAUUUUGCGAGCAUUGUGUUCUGGGAAAACAACGAAGGGUGAAAUUUGGCACUGGGAUUCACAAUACUAAAGGUAUUCUGGAUUAUGUGCAUUCUGAUGUAUGGGGACCGUCCAAGACUCCAUCACUUGGAGGAAGACGUUAUUUUGUCACCUUUAUUGAUGAUUUUUCCAGACGAGUUUGGGUGUUUCCUAUGAAGAACAAAGAUGAGGUGCUUGAAGUUUUCCUUAAGUGGAAAACUAAAGUUGAAAAUCAGACAGGAAGGAAGAUUAAGGUUCUCCGAUCAGACAACGGUGGAGAAUAUAAAAGCGAUCCAUUCCUGAAGAUAUGCCAAGAUUGUGGCAUAGUAAGGCACUUCACCGUAGGUGGAACACCGCAACAGAAUGGGGUGGCAGAGCGUAUGAAUCGAACGCUUGUAGAGAAAGUUCGAUGUAUGUUAUCUAAUGCUGGAUUAGAUAGAAAGUUUUGGACUGAGGCUGUGACGUACGCUCAACAUCUCAUCAAUCAUUUGCCAUCAUCUGCUAUAAAUGGCAAGACUCCUUUGGAGAAAUGGUAUGGAAAACCUGCUACUGAUUAUGACACCUUGCGCAUUUUUGGUUCUAUUGCAUAUUAUCAUGUGAAAGAAUCAAAGUUAGAUCCAAGAGCAAAGAAGGCUCUAUUCAUGGGCUUCAAUGCUGGUGUUAAGGGAUAUCGUUUGUGGUGUCUAGAGGCAAAGAAGACGAUAAUCAGUAGGGAUGUUACCUUUCAUGAAUCUGCCAUGUUGAAUAAGGUAAAUCCAGAAGGAGUGAGUAGUACUUCGCAGCAGGUGGAGUGUACUCCGCAGCAGGUGGAGUUUGAGCAGAGUGUGGUAAUUCCAGCAGAAGGUACCACUAGUGAUUCUUCAUUGGCAGAUGCAGAGUCAGAUGAGGAAGAGGUUUCUACCCAAGAACCUCAACAGCAAUCAGAGCCAAUUGCAGUCAGAAGGCAGAGACGAGAAAUUCAGAAACCUGCUCGUUUCACUGACAUGGUAGCUUAUGCACUUCCAGUUGUUGAUAAUAUUCCAUCCACUUACACCAAAGCCAUUCAGAGUUUAGAGAAUAAUAGAUGGUUAGGUGCAAUGGAAGAGGAAAUGCAAUCUCUAGAGAAAAACAAGACGGGGAAGCUGGCACAACUACCAAAAGGGAAGAAGGCGAUUGGUUGCAAAUUUGAAGACACUAUUGAAGUUAGUGUUAUGAGAAGAUGUUCGAAGAUGUGGAAUAUCGCCAAGGUGGAGAUUUGUUGAAUAUUGGCAAUAUUCCACAUUAGGAAAAGAUAGAAAGGGAGGGGGUUUGGUUUGUUAUAUAUAGAACCCCUCCCCCUUUGGUUGUAUUAUCCCAAAAUCUUCUCCUUUGUAAUAUUUCUAGAAGAAAUAUUAAUUUGGUAGUGUCCGAGGACGUAAGCUAAAUUGGCCGAACCUCGUUAAAUCUCUGGUAUUUUAUUUCUUAUUUGUUUGCUUAUAUUUAAUAGCUUUAUGUUGGUUAUAUUUAUUUAGUUAUUAUUGCUAUAAAUAUCUAAGUGAGUUCUGUCUAGUUGUUGGGUUUUAAGCGGGACCAUUUGUGACCCCUCCAAUUUAACUGGGAAUUUUCUUAGUAUAAUUGUUGGCAUAAUAAUUAUCUAAAUAUUUCUGAUAAUAUUGUUAUUAAUAUUAUCGUCGCUUCCGCAACAUUCACAACGUUUCCACAUCCAGCACCACAACCACCGCAGCCACCACUGCUUACCGUGUUGCCUUUCUCACUUCCACAGUCCCCAUUGCAUGAACCAUCUUUUUUAGGUAUCACUGCAUUUUCUAAUGUCACAUCCGAAUGGACUUCAGUUUCCAUGGAGGCAUGCUGGUCGUUGUCA
This 27994-nucleotide long non-coding RNA is filed under the name Gossypium barbadense (sea-island cotton). RNAcentral describes it as "long non-coding RNA (GBAR_LNC014670)". Lineage: Eukaryota; Viridiplantae; Streptophyta; Magnoliopsida; Malvales; Malvaceae. The record is from RNAcentral.